GAGCUUGUUUGGCAAAACGAGAACUGCUAAUUCCUCGUACCCAUGGUUCAAUCCCAUGGCUUGCUCG
Molecule: transfer RNA, 67 nt
Filed under: Kaloula baleata (brown bullfrog)
Lineage: Eukaryota; Metazoa; Chordata; Amphibia; Anura; Microhylidae
Description: tRNA-Ser
Source: RNAcentral